AGUGGCGGACGGGUGAGUAACGCGUGAGGAUCUGCCCUUAGGAUGGGGACAACAGUUGGAAACGACUGCUAAUACCCAAUGUGCCGAAAGGUGAAAGCUUUAGCGCCUGAGGAUGAACUCGCGUCUGAUUAGCUAGUUGGUAGUGUAAUGGACUACCAAGGCGACGAUCAGUAGCUGGUCUGAGAGGAUGAUCAGCCACACUGGGACUGAGACACGGCCCAGACUCCUACGGGAGGCAGCAGUGGGGAAUUUUCCGCAAUGGGCGAAAGCCUGACGGAGCAACGCCGCGUGAGGGAAGACGGCUCGUGGGUUGUAAACCUCUUUUCUCUAGGAAGAAGAACUGACGGUACUAGAGGAAUCAGCAUCGGCUAACUCCGUGCCAGCAGCCGCGGUAAUACGGAGGAUGCAAGCGUUAUCCGGAAUUAUUGGGCGUAAAGCGUCCGUAGGCGGUUUUACAAGUCUGCUGUUAAAGCGUGCAGCUCAACUGCAUAUAGGCAGUGGAAACUGUAAGACUAGAGUGUAGUAGGGGUAGAGGGAAUUCCCAGUGUAGCGGUGAAAUGCGUAGAUAUUGGGAAGAACACCGGUGGCGAAAGCGCUCUACUGGGCUACAACUGACGCUGAUGGACGAAAGCUAGGGGAGCGAAAGAGAUUAGAUACCCCUGUAGUCCUAGCCGUAAACGAUGGACACUAGGUGUUG
This 697-nucleotide ribosomal RNA is filed under the name uncultured Oscillatoriales cyanobacterium. Its description in RNAcentral is "bacterial SSU rRNA". It matches the Rfam family "Bacterial small subunit ribosomal RNA", at positions 94 to 825 of the family's 1533-position model. Lineage: Bacteria; Bacillati; Cyanobacteriota; Cyanophyceae; Oscillatoriales. The record is from RNAcentral.